UACGUAGGGGGCUAGCGUUGCUCGGAAUCACUGGGCGUAAAGCGCACGUAGGCGGCUUGUUAAGUCAGGGGUGAAAUCCUGGAGCUCAACUCCAGAACUGCCUUUGAUACUGAAGAUCUUGAGUUCGGGAGAGGUGAGUGGAACUGCGAGUGUAGAGGUGAAAUUCGUAGAUAUUCGCAAGAACACCAGUGGCGAAGGCGGCUCACUGGCCCGAUACUGACGCUGAGGCACGAAAGCGUGGGGAGCAAACAGG
Molecule: ribosomal RNA, 253 nt
Filed under: uncultured bacterium
Lineage: Bacteria
Description: partial 16S ribosomal RNA
Rfam family: Bacterial small subunit ribosomal RNA
Source: RNAcentral